Molecule: small RNA, 125 nt
Filed under: Marmota monax (woodchuck)
Lineage: Eukaryota; Metazoa; Chordata; Mammalia; Rodentia; Sciuridae
Source: RNAcentral
GUUGGGCGUGGUGGCACAUGCCUGUAAUCCCAGGGGCUUGGGAGGCUGAGACAGGAGGAUUGGGAGUUCAAAGCCAGCCUCAGCAACAGCAAGGCACUAAGCAACUCAGUGAGAUCCUGUCUCUA